This is a long non-coding RNA of Gopherus evgoodei (Goodes thornscrub tortoise), 1391 nucleotides long. RefSeq lists it as uncharacterized. Lineage: Eukaryota; Metazoa; Chordata; Testudines; Testudinidae. The record is from RefSeq and is a predicted model, not a curated record. The transcript is spliced from 6 exons.
CCCUGGCCCUAGUGUGCGCCACUGCCACCCCGGAGCCGCUCCAGUGCCUACUCGUGACUCUAAGCAGUUCAAAUAACUAAGAACAAACAAUAUUUCAGACAAGAUGUAACACCUGCAACCACUGCCUGUCAUGAACAUGAAACCCCUGGUGACCUUCCAGCCCCUCAGCUCAUCCAAGUGAGUGCCCAGGUGGUUAACAAAUCCUUACUGUGGCAGACCAAGUGUGGCUAUAUGCAGAAGCACUGAAGGGCUCAAAUCUGGAUGGGGAGGAACAAAGAUCGUCAACAUGGAAUAUUUCAGUUCUUCAUGUGAGAUCAGCGACUCUAACACUGGCAUACUUGAGGUCUUUAAACCAUGAUUUGAGGACUUCAGUAACUCAGACGUAGGGUUUACCGUUACCUGAUUUGAGAAGCCUCGAUUAACUUCAGACUCCUCCACAGAACCUGUCUGCCUUAGUCUGUCACCCUAUAGCAGUGGUCUCCAAAGUGGGGUGCGCAAGACGAUCCAUUGGGGAGCAUGGCAGGAGGAGUGCUGCUAGACAGGGAAAAAAGGGGCAGCUAGAGGAGGGAGGGAGCGAGCAGGGAAGCACAGUGCUUUAGGGGCUGCAGGGCCCUCAGAGAAGGGGACCCCGGGGCCCUUGCCUGCAGCUCUAAAGCCCCUUUUGGAAUGCAGGGCAGCCGUGCAGCCAGUUGCUGGAAAGAAGCGGCGCCUUCCACUUCAAAGUCGGCUGGAGAGAAGCGGCGCUUUGAAGAGGGGAGUGCUGCUUCUCUCCAGCCGCUGGCUGCGCGGCUGCCCCUGCUCCUCCUGAGUCCUCCAGCCCAUGUUCACAGGGCUGCAUUCUGAAAGAGGCUUUAGAGCUGAAGGCCAAGGCCAAGGCCCUGGGGCCCCCAUAGUCCAGGGCCCUGCAGCCCCUAAAGCCCCUGCCUGCCGGGGAAGUGCGAGGGGCAGCUCCCAGAAUCGUGGCCAUGGGGGCAGUGCUGAGCUGCACAGAGCCACCUGCACACCCCCUGCACCAAAGAGGAGCUGUCCCAGGCUCUUCUCUACAGCAACACAAGUUUUGCAAUCUUUUGGAGACAGCAUUCUCAAAACCAACAGCUUGCCCAUUGUCCUUCUGCACAGGUGGUAAAUAGGGCAUGAGGAAGACAGAGAGGAGAGAUACUGGUGCCAAUGAAAAAACAAUAGCCUUCACAAGAACUGUGCAAGACACCAUGCAAACCUUUUCCACAAGAUCCUGCCAAUGCAGCUUCACACUGAAACAGCAGCAGCCCCUGGGUUUCCAGCGUCUGGCUUCUUAUAUAUGUGCCAUCAGCACCACAUUCCCAGCCCUAUCUUUGGGUUGUGAUGACACAAAGGCAUCCUCCAGCAAUGGCAUUUAUCUUCCUUUUAAAAAA